GUGCCAGCAGCCGCGGUAAUACGAAGGGGGCUAGCGUUGUUCGGAUUUACUGGGCGUAAAGCGCGUGUAGGCGGGCCGGUAAGUUGGGGGUGAAAUCCCGAGGCUCAACCUCGGAACUGCCUCCAAAACUGUCGGCCUGGAGCAAGAUAGAGGCGAGUGGAAUUGCGAGUGUAGAGGUGAAAUUCGUAGAUAUUCGCAGGAACACCAGUGGCGAAGGCGACUCGCUGGAUCUUUGCUGACGCUGAGACGCGAAAGCGUGGGGAGCAAACAGGAUUAGAAACCCUCGUAGUCC
This 292-nucleotide ribosomal RNA is filed under the name uncultured bacterium. Its description in RNAcentral is "partial 16S ribosomal RNA". It matches the Rfam family "Bacterial small subunit ribosomal RNA", at positions 505 to 796 of the family's 1533-position model. The record is from RNAcentral.